GAGAUGUCUAGUGGGCUGGUUCGGUUGGGAUUUAUGAUUUUAGUGGGUCGAUCUGAUCUGGCCUGGUUGCUUGUGGAUCCUAUUAUCAUCUCAUCCCCGUCGCCCUUCCCUAACGUCAACAGCGGCGGCGGCGGCGGCGGCGGCGACGAUGGCGCGGCACUCGGCAGUCGCCGCACCACCAGUCUCCCACCACCCAGCCGACGCCGCCACCGUCCACCGGGGUGCUCGCCGUCGUCGCACGCGCCCCCGUCCGGCUGUCCGUGGAUCCGCUAUCUGCAUCAAGGACGGAUGGACAGGGGAGGAAGUUUGAAACCGUGGUUUGGGAAGGUGGGGUGCUCCAAUUUGGUUGUAAUGAUGCUUGCAGUUUGGAUUAGCUUGGUUUUGGAAGAUAGCGGACUGGCGUGGUCUGGAGGGGAUAAUAUAUAUUAUUAAAAUGGUCUGAUCCAGUUAUGGUGCGGUUAUCAGACCACUAGCAGCUUGAACUGUAUAUAUACACCUAGGGCUGCCACAACUACGUGCAUCUACUUCUGUACAGUUCAUACAUGACUUUUCCUUGCAAAUUAAAAUGGGAAGUAACUUUUCAUGAACUCUUUUUUAUAUGAA
Long non-coding RNA from Panicum hallii, 603 nucleotides. RefSeq lists it as uncharacterized. NCBI's taxonomy places the organism in Eukaryota, Viridiplantae, Streptophyta, Magnoliopsida, Poales, Poaceae. The record is from RefSeq and is a predicted model, not a curated record. The transcript is spliced from 2 exons.